AUGGAGCAAUUGAAGAGGAUGGAUGCUGCAGAACAGCAAAUUAAAGAGCUGCAUGAAGAUCUUAAUCAGAGAUUUGACCAGCUGGUUGAGAUGAUAAGAAAGGGUGUCCACCCUGCUACCAAUGAAGGAGAUUCAUCUAAAGAAGGAAGGAGAUGUUCAUCAAAGAAGAAGAUGUUCAUCAAAGAAGAAGAAGAUGUUCAUCAAAGAAAGAGAGGUAAUCUUGGAGCAAGGCCGCCACAACAACAUGUUCAACGUGCUUCAAGAAGGCAAUUUAUGCUGAAGCUUAUGAAGGUGAAGAAUAUGAUGAUGCCCUUGAAGAACCAGAUCUCUACGCAUAUCAAGAGUACCCAACCCUACAUAUGCAAGAGAUACAUACAAGGUGAAAGCUGA
RNAcentral lists this ribosomal RNA (390 nucleotides) under Triticum aestivum (bread wheat). Its description in RNAcentral is "partial small subunit ribosomal RNA". Lineage: Eukaryota; Viridiplantae; Streptophyta; Magnoliopsida; Poales; Poaceae. The record is from RNAcentral.